Molecule: non-coding RNA, 119 nt
Organism: Pteropus alecto (black flying fox)
Lineage: Eukaryota; Metazoa; Chordata; Mammalia; Chiroptera; Pteropodidae
Source: Rfam
GUCUACAGCCAUGCCACCCUGAACAAGCCCAAUCCUAUCUGAUCUUGGAAGCUAAGCAGGGUUGGGCCUGGUUAGUACUUGGAUGGGAGACCACCUAGGAAGUCCGGGUGCUGUAGGCA